Gadus morhua (Atlantic cod) is the source of this 2832-nucleotide RNA transcript. It is a transcript of the gene named thiamine transporter 2, with no coding region annotated. The transcript is spliced from 7 exons. Lineage: Eukaryota; Metazoa; Chordata; Actinopteri; Gadiformes; Gadidae. The record is from RefSeq and is a predicted model, not a curated record.
CCCUGCCUGUAUCACCUUGACCUUAUCUGAGGGCCCCAUAUCUCAAUAGAUUAAACUGCCCGAGUUAGACUCUCGACUGGCACUGAACACCCCGUCCCAGCGGAGCACCAAGAGCACACCGCAGGCGAGAGGGGGAGAGCCAGAGAGAGAGAGAGAGAGAGAGAGAGAGAGAGAGAGAGAGAGAGAGAGAGAGAGAGAGAGAGAGAGAGAGAGAGAGAGAGAGAGAGAGAGAGAGAGAGAGAGAGAGAGAGAGAGAGAGAGAGAGACACAAUGGGGUUCUUCUGGUGGUGGAAGUGCCGUGAUGGACCUCGUACCGGGAACCCCCGUGGGCCCCAUGGCGCAGGCUGGGCGGGCCCCACCACGCUGCUCUGUGUCUACGGAUUCUGCUCCAUGAUGAGACCCAUCGAGCCCUUCCUGACGGAGUUCCUCUCGGGGCCCGACAAGAACUUCACCACCGGUCAGCUAACGCGCCAGGUGUACCCUGUGGUGACCUACUCCAACAUCCUCCUCCUGGUCCCAGUCCUCCUGGUGACCGACUGGCUGCGCUACAAGCCCGUCAUCGUCCUCCAGGCGCUCUGCAACCUGCUGUCCUUCCUGCUCCUCCUGCUGGGCCCGCGUGGGGACACCGCCUGGGCCCGCGGGGCCCUCUUCGUCUCCAGCCUGGGCUCGGUGGCCGACGUGGCCUACAUCUCCUACAUCUACAGCCUGGUGCCGCCGCAACGCUACCAGAGAGUCACGGGCUACGUGCGCGGCGCCUUGCUGCUGGGCUACGCGGCGGGCGCCACGCUGGGCCAGCUGCUGGUGUCCGUGUUCGCCGUGGCGCUGCGCCGCCUGUUUGCCGUGUCCGUGGCGUCGAUGGCCGCCGCCCUGGCCGUGGCGCUCUUCCUGCCCAUGCCCAAGAGGAGUCUGCACGAGAGGGAGAUGCGGGGGGGCUCCGGUGCGGAUGCAGUUGCGGACGCGGAGGAAGACCCCGGCUGCUCCGUCGGACCCUGCAGGCAGGCGUGGGCGCGGUCACGGCGUGCGGUCCGCUGCGCAGGCAGGGCGUCGCAGAGGCUGGCGGCGGACUGCGUGGCGUGUUACUCCUCGGUGGCGGUGGCCUUCUUCUGUGUUUGGUUCGCUGCUGGGAGGUGUGGCUUCUACCAGGUGGCAAGCUACGUGCAGUUGCUGUGGCUUGAUCAGCAGCCGCAGCACAACUUCACGGCCUACAACGGAGCGGUGGACGCCCUCGCAACCCUGUCGGGAUCGGCUGCAUCCCUCGCAGUAGGCCACAUCUCUCUGGACUGGGCCCUGUGGGGAGAGGUCUUCCUCGGGGGUUUCACAGCCCUGAUUUCAGGGGCUCUGUUCCUGAUGAACCUGACUGAUAACAUCUGGGUCUCCUACGUCUGCUAUGCCCUCUUCAAAGCGCUCUACAUGCAACUCAUAACCGUGUGCACCUUCCAGAUUGCCAAGUCUCUGAGGCUGGAACGCUACGCCUUGGUGUUUGGUCUGAACCGCUUCCUGGGGACUGUCCUCCAGACCGUCCUCACAGGUGUGGUGAUCAACACCAGGUCUCUGAGGCUCACCCUCUCCUCCCAGUUCUUGAUCUAUGCAGCCUUCUUUGGAGUGCUGGCCCUGCUGUUCGUUGUUAGAGGUGUGUAUGUAGUCUUCCACACAAAGCACAGCUCCCAGGAGAACCAGGCGGAGAGAGACAACCAAUUACCAGAGGUCACACCUCGGCCAUUCUGAACCGUGACUGCAGCAAAAUGAUGGUGCGUAUCUCCCUGAUUUUGCAGAGAAAAAAUUAGGUGUUGAGACUGGACAGAUCCCUCGACCUCCAGAAACAGGAAGUACAGAUUCAGAGCCAGUAUGACACCUCCUCCAGAAGAAGGAGUGACUGGAGAACCUCCUCCUCCAGAGCAAACAGGAGAAGCCGGUCCAUGAUGUUCCCUCUUUGGACAAGAAUGUCAAGUCCUUGGGCAAAGUGGCCCUGAAGCUUCAACUGAGGCUGGUGGCGAACAGCAAACAGACUGGCCUUCAACAAAGAGGAGGAUGUGAUGGCUGAGGCCAGGAAGGCCUUCCAGAUGUAGAAAAGAAAAGUUCUGGCUGGAGAGGGAAGCCUUACACAAGCAGAGAUCAGAACCUAGGAGCAUGCAAAGAUCACUGCAAGGAGUUUGAAGAGAGCAUGCUGAGGAAGGCCUACUGGAAGGAGAAGAGGGGGGUGCAGGCCUACAACAAAGCCCACUUCAUCGAGCCCACAACAUGGCCCACACGUGGAACACCAUCAACAGCCACCACACAAGUCCUGAUGCAACUGCGGCCUCUUAUGGCCACGGUGGUGAAUUUGUUGUCUGAAUGGAGAUUGCAAUUCGGAAACUGUGGCUCAAGUCAGAACCCCUACUGACCCGACUGGGUCAAGCACGGAUCCGCACUGUGAAUGAUCCGCCACUGUGUGUGUGUUUAUCAAUCACAAACACACUCACACACACACACACACACACACACACACACACACACACACACACACACACACACACACACACACACACACACACACACACACACACACACAGCUGAUUGUAUUUGGCAGCGUAAUCUGUGUAGUACACUUACACUCUCUUGGUCUACCAGAACGAUAAUGGCUCUUGGUUACUUACAGAACACCCUUAGUACCCCUGGACAUCUAGCAGAGAGAGGGAUCCUGAGCUACUUUUUACACUUCACUCACUUUCAACAGUGCCUGGGUAGGGCCUGCAUGAUGGGGGGCUAAAAAGGGAAAUGGAUGAGAGCCGUGCUGAUAACUGAUGCUGUUUUCAGAAAAAAUAAACACUUCAGUUUCUUCGUGUGCUGGCUUUA